CCUACGGGAGGCAGCAGUCGGGAAUAUUGCGCAAUGGAGGAAACUCUGACGCAGUGACGCCGCGUGCAGGAAGAAGGUUUUCGGAUUGUAAACUGCUUUAGACAGGGAAGAAAAAAGACAGUACCUGUAGAAUAAGCUCCGGCUAACUACGUGCCAGCAGCCGCGGUAAUACGUAGGGAGCAAGCGUUAUCCGGUUUUAUUGGGUGUAAAGGGUGCGUAGACGGAGAACCAAGUUAGUUGUGAAAUCCCUCGGCUUAACUGAGGAACUGCAACUAAAACUACUUCCCUUGAGUACUGGAGAGGAAAGUGGAAUGCCUGGGGGAGGGGGGAAAUGCGUAGAGAUAAGGAGGAAAACCAGUG
RNAcentral lists this ribosomal RNA (360 nucleotides) under uncultured bacterium. RNAcentral's name for it is "partial 16S ribosomal RNA". It matches the Rfam family "Bacterial small subunit ribosomal RNA", at positions 338 to 714 of the family's 1533-position model. The record is from RNAcentral.